RNAcentral lists this small RNA (607 nucleotides) under Pan troglodytes (chimpanzee). RNAcentral's name for it is "retained intron". Lineage: Eukaryota; Metazoa; Chordata; Mammalia; Primates; Hominidae. The record is from RNAcentral.
GCUCUUUGCCCUGAUCCAGUGGCUGGCAGUGCCAGAUGAGGAAGAAGACAAGACAAUGUUGGCAGAAAGAAUUCCUGUUCCCUCCAGUCCCGUUCCUAUAGCAACCAUCGACUUGGUACAGCAACAGACAGAAGAUGUCAUGCCACGCAUUGAGCCCAGACUUCCACCCAAGAAAACUAAGCACCAGGAAGAACAGGAAGAUGUGAACAAACCAGCCUGGGGAGUCAGCUCUUCUCCCUGGGUGACCUUUGUCUAUGCACUCUACCAAAUUAAAGAGAUGAUGCAACUCACAAGAGACAACCGUGCUUCUGAGAUACAGCCUUUACAGGUACAGUUCCUUUGCUGGGCUAGCAAUAUUACCUGUCACUCAAGAUACCUUAACUGGGCUCAGUUGUUUUAAUUACUCACUUUUCAUUCAACAAGAUUUAUUGAAAGUCUGGUGGGGGAAAUCGACAUGCAAACAAUUUCAGUACUCUGUGAGCACUGAGUUAAAGAGGGUGUAUACAAGGUCCCAUAGAGAGAAUAUUCUGCCUUAUGGAGUUCAGGAAAACUUCAGAGGUUAUGAUUCUUUCACUUCUUGAAAGAAAUAAAAUAAAUAAAUCCAUUC